RNAcentral lists this transfer RNA (72 nucleotides) under Camelus bactrianus (Bactrian camel). It matches the Rfam family "tRNA". From Rfam's summary of the family: Transfer RNA (tRNA) molecules are approximately 80 nucleotides in length. RNAcentral also lists the same sequence under 3 other names. Lineage: Eukaryota; Metazoa; Chordata; Mammalia; Artiodactyla; Camelidae. The record is from Rfam by way of RNAcentral.
GUGGGUGUAGCUCAGUGGUAGAGUGCAUGCUUAGCAUGCACAAGGUCCUGGGUUCAAUCCCCAGUACCUCCA